This 582-nucleotide ribosomal RNA is filed under the name [Candida] boidinii. Its description in RNAcentral is "eukaryotic LSU rRNA". It matches the Rfam family "Eukaryotic large subunit ribosomal RNA", at positions 62 to 669 of the family's 3401-position model. The record is from RNAcentral. Lineage: Eukaryota; Fungi; Ascomycota; Pichiomycetes; Pichiales; Pichiaceae.
ACACCACGGAUUCGCCUUAGUAGCGGCGAGUGGAGCGGCAGAGCUCAUAUUUGAAAUCUGGUACUUUCAGUAUCCGAGUUGUAAUUUGAAGAAAGUUAUCUUGGAGUUGGCCCUUGUCUAUGUUCCUUGGAACAGGACGUCACAGAGGGUGAGAAUCCCGUGCGAUGGGGUGCCCAUUCUAUGUAAGAUACUUUCGACGAGUCGAGUUGUUUGGGAGUGCAGCUCUAAGUGGGUGGUAAAUUCCAUCUAAAGCUAAAUAUUGGCGAGAGACCGAUAGCGAACAAGUACAGUGAUGGAAAGAUGAAAAGAACUUUGAAAAGAGAGUGAAAAAGUACGUGAAAUUGUUGAAAGGGAAGGGUAUUUGAUCAGACUGAUAUUCAGUUAACACUGUUCCUUGUGGAUGGUGCUCUAGCUUUUUAUUGGGCCAGCAUCAGUUUAGGUGGCAGGAUAAGAACUGUUGAACGUGGCUCUUCGGAGUGUUAUAGCUUCAGUUGAUACUGCCUAUCUAGACUGAGGUCUGCGGCUUUGCCUAGGAUGCUGGCGUAAUGGUCUAAUACCGCCCGUCUUGAAAACACGGACCCA